GCCGGCCCCACCCCCUCUUCCCUGAUGUUUGGAUCAUGCUGCCAGCUGUCACGCCCUUUGGCACAUGAUUGCUUAAUAUGUUUCCACCUUCUUCUGGCAGGAUUCCCUUCAAUGAAGAUCCCAACCCCAAUACUCACUCAUCAGGACCCUCAACCCCUCUGAAAAACCAAACUUAUUCCUUUUCACCUUCCAAGUCCUACAGUCGGCAGUCCUCUUCUUCUGACACAGAUUUGAGUUUGACACCCAAGACUGGUAAGGCGCUUCCACCCACCUUUUGUGUUUCCUCGUAAGAACUUGUUUCUGUUCCCUGUUAGCUGCCCAUCCAAACCUUUCCUCCUGUUUCUGCAUUUAAGUUAAAGUUAAUGGAAUGCUGAUCAUUGCGGUUAUUAAAGUUAAUUUUUUUUGUAGAGAUACUAUUUUGUUUGGACAGUGAUAUUUUAAUUAAUUUAGUUAUUGUUGAUAUCAAGUCCAGAGUUUAUUUUUGGGUGUUGCCAUUCUUCAUUUCAUGUUGAAGUCAAGAGGAAUGCUAUCUUAAAACAUUUGCAUAGUAACCCUAGAAGUCUGCACUCAAAUUGCAGUUUUGAACCAUAAUUCCUCUUAAGCAUAUGAUUAAUUUAUUUCUUAUUCAUUUUCAUUUUAGAAUUUAGUUCUGUGUUUCUAUUAUGGGAGUAGUUCAGAACUGGAAUGGUUGUAUAGCAGUUCAUCUGCUUUUUGGCUUAAGG
This 722-nucleotide long non-coding RNA is filed under the name Rattus norvegicus (Norway rat). Its description in RNAcentral is "long non-coding RNA NONRATT021961". Lineage: Eukaryota; Metazoa; Chordata; Mammalia; Rodentia; Muridae. The record is from RNAcentral.